GACGAACCGUGCGAACGUUGUUCGGAAUUACUGGGCGUAAAGCGCGCGUAGGCGGCUUUUCAAGUCGAUUGUGAAAUCCCCGGGCUUAACCUGGGAACUGCAGUCGAGACUGUCUAGCUAGAGUAUGGGAGAGGGAAGUGGAAUUUCAGGUGUAGCGGUGAAAUGCGUAGAUAUCUGAAGGAACAUCAGUGGCGAAAGCGACUUCCUGGACCAAUACUGACGCUCAUGUGCGAAAGCGUGGGGAGCAAACAGG
Molecule: ribosomal RNA, 253 nt
Filed under: uncultured bacterium
Lineage: Bacteria
Description: partial 16S ribosomal RNA
Rfam family: Bacterial small subunit ribosomal RNA
Source: RNAcentral